UUUGGAAUAUUGCACAAUGGGGGAAACCCUGAUGCAGCGACGCCGCGUGGAGGAUGAAGGAUCUAGGUCUGUAAACUCCUUUUAUCGGGAAAGACUUAGGACGGUACCCGAUGAAUAAGCUCCGGCUAACUACGUGCCAGCAGCCGCGGUAAGACGUAGGGAGCGAGCGUUGUCCGGAUUUACUGGGCGUAAAGGGCGCGUAGGCGGUCUGUUAAGUGUGAAGUGAAAUCUCCAGGGCUCAACCCGGAAACUGCUUCGCAUACUGGCAGACUUGAGGAAUGCAGAGGUAAGUGGAAUUCCUGGUGUAGCGGUGAAAUGCAUUGAUAUCAGGAGGAACACCAAUGGCGAAGGCAGCUUACUGGGCAUUAUCUGACGCUGAGGCGCGAAAGCGUGGGUAGCAAACAG
This 405-nucleotide ribosomal RNA is filed under the name uncultured bacterium. RNAcentral describes it as "bacterial SSU rRNA". It matches the Rfam family "Bacterial small subunit ribosomal RNA", at positions 355 to 775 of the family's 1533-position model. The record is from RNAcentral.